GAAUUCGCCCUUAGAGUUUGAUCCUGGCUCAGGAUGAACGCUGGCGGCGCGCCUAACACAUGCAAGUCGAACGAGCGAGAGAGAGCUUGCUUUCUCGAGCGAGUGGCGAACGGGUGAGUAACGCGUGAGGAACCUGCCUCAAAGAGGGGGACAACAGUUGGAAACGACUGCUAAUACCGCAUAAGCCCACAGCUCGGCAUCGAGCAGAGGGAAAAGGAGCAAUCCGCUUUGAGAUGGCCUCGCGUCCGAUUAGCUAGUUGGUGAGGUAACGGCCCACCAAGGCGACGAUCGGUAGCCGGACUGAGAGGUUGAACGGCCACAUUGGGACUGAGACACGGCCCAGACUCCUACGGGAGGCAGCAGUGGGGAAUAUUGCACAAUGGGGGAAACCCUGAUGCAGCGACGCCGCGUGGAGGAAGAAGGUCUUCGGAUUGUAAACUCCUGUUGUUGAGGAAGAUAAUGACGGUACUCAACAAGGAAGUGACGGCUAACUACGUGCCAGCAGCCGCGGUAAAACGUAGGUCACAAGCGUUGUCCGGAAUUACUGGGUGUAAAGGGAGCGCAGGCGGGAAGGCAAGUUGGAAGUGAAAUCCAUGGGCUCAACCCAUGAACUGCUUUCAAAACUGUUUUUCUUGAGUAGUGCAGAGGUAGGCGGAAUUCCCGGUGUAGCGGUGGAAUGCGUAGAUAUCGGGAGGAACACCAGUGGCGAAGGCGGCCUACUGGGCACCAACUGACGCUGAGGCUCGAAAGUGUGGGUAGCAAACAGGAUUAGAUACCCUGGUAGUCCACACCGUAAACGAUGAU
RNAcentral lists this ribosomal RNA (804 nucleotides) under uncultured bacterium. RNAcentral describes it as "bacterial SSU rRNA". It matches the Rfam family "Bacterial small subunit ribosomal RNA", at positions 1 to 813 of the family's 1533-position model. The record is from RNAcentral.